UGAUGUUCUCAGGGCGGGGUGCAAUUCCCCACCGGCGGUAGGUGCAGUCCCCUGCACGAGCCCGCGAGCGCCUUCGGAGUUUCUCCGGAGGGUCAGCAGAUCCGGUCCGAUUCCGGAGCCGACGGUUACAGUCCGGAUGAAAGAGAACGAUG
This 152-nucleotide non-coding RNA is filed under the name Acidomonas methanolica. Its description in RNAcentral is "FMN sequence". It matches the Rfam family "FMN riboswitch aptamer (RFN element)". From Rfam's summary of the family: The RFN element is a highly conserved domain that is found frequently in the 5'-untranslated regions of prokaryotic mRNAs that encode for flavin mononucleotide (FMN) biosynthesis and transport proteins. This element is a metabolite-dependent riboswitch that directly binds FMN in the absence of proteins. RNAcentral also lists the same sequence under 1 other name. Lineage: Bacteria; Pseudomonadati; Pseudomonadota; Alphaproteobacteria; Acetobacterales; Acetobacteraceae. The record is from RNAcentral.